UCGAGGAUCUUUGGCAAUGAGCGCAAGCUUGACCAAGCGACGCCGCGUGUGCGAUGAAGGCCUUCGGGUUGUAAAGCACUGUCGAGGGGGACGAAGCCGCAAGGUUGACCGAUCCCUGGAGGAAGCACGGGCUAAGUUCGUGCCAGCAGCCGCGGUAAGACGAACCGUGCGAACGUUGUUCGGAAUCACUGGGCUUAAAGGGCGCGUAGGCGGCUUGCCAAGUCAGUGGUGAAAUCCUGCAGCUUAACUGCAGAAGUGCCUUUGAUACUGGCGAGCUCGAGGGAGGUAGGGGUAUGUGGAACUUCUGGUGGAGCGGUGAAAUGCGUUGAUAUCAGAAGGAACGCCGGUGGCGAAAGCGACGUACUGGACCUCUUCUGACGCUGAGGCGCGAAAGCUAGGGGAGCAAACGG
Molecule: ribosomal RNA, 410 nt
Filed under: uncultured bacterium
Lineage: Bacteria
Description: bacterial SSU rRNA
Rfam family: Bacterial small subunit ribosomal RNA
Source: RNAcentral